ACUUGGAUAUGGAUUCUUCACGGUAACGUAACUGAAUGUGGAGACGUCGGCGUGAGCCCUGGGAGGAGUUCUNUUUUCUUCUUAACAGCUUAACACCCUGGAAUUGGUUUAUCCGGAGAUAGGGUNUUAUGGCUNGAAGAGUGCGAUAUCUUUGUCGCAUCCGGUGCGCUCACNACGGCCCUUGAAAAUCCACAGGAAGGAAUAGUUUUCAUGCCAAGUNGUAC
RNAcentral lists this ribosomal RNA (224 nucleotides) under Saccharomycopsis vini. RNAcentral describes it as "partial 26S ribosomal RNA". It matches the Rfam family "Eukaryotic large subunit ribosomal RNA", at positions 1623 to 1847 of the family's 3401-position model. Lineage: Eukaryota; Fungi; Ascomycota; Saccharomycetes; Ascoideales; Saccharomycopsidaceae. The record is from RNAcentral.